This 77-nucleotide transfer RNA is filed under the name Gammaproteobacteria bacterium. RNAcentral describes it as "tRNA-Met". It matches the Rfam family "tRNA". Rfam says of the family: Transfer RNA (tRNA) molecules are approximately 80 nucleotides in length. Their secondary structure includes four short double-helical elements and three loops (D, anti-codon, and T loops). Lineage: Bacteria; Pseudomonadati; Pseudomonadota; Gammaproteobacteria. RNAcentral also lists the same sequence under 2 other names. The record is from RNAcentral.
GGCUAUGUAGCUCAGCUGGUUAGAGCGACGCACUCAUAAUGCGUAGGUCGGUGGUUCAAGUCCACCCAUAGCCACCA